GGCAAUACGUAGUGAUUUCACAUUCAAACUCACGAGCGCAUAUGAAUUCCCUCCAUCUGGAAACUCUUCCGCCGCGCCAGAGGUCGCCUCCGGCGGCGGCGGAGCCCUAACCUCCCAACAAAAUGUAUAAAAAUCUUCCUCUCAUUGCCCAAAACCUAAAUCCACAGUCCAAUUUCCGAAAUUCAUCAUCAAACAUUCAGAUCAAAGUAAAAAUGGUGCAAACCCUAGCCUAUCAAAUUGUAAAUUAAAUACUGAGAGGGAGGAAUCAGAGCCUAAUGAGUUAGGGCUUUGAUUCAUCAAGUUCAAAGCUACAUCACUGUAUCAAAGAAGGGAGGAGAAGGAACUUACCUAUUGGAGCAACUCCAGUGGUUCUUCUGGUCAUCGUGCACGAAGGUUCAAGACUUUCCACUUCUUCAGGUUAGAUGUGUUAACUGCUGAAUUCGAUUUGUACAGCUCCGAUCAGUUAAACGUGAUUGUAAGGUCAAUUAAGAUCUUGGAACUGGUUGUUAAGGUCAAUUGUUGGCUUAUGAUGGUUGAAUGAACCACUGCUGUUACCUCCCUUUUUCGGACUCAGUGAGGCAUGUUGCUGCUAACAUGUGUCAAUCUAUGCGUUUUUUCCUGUAGCAGUUAAUUGGUAACUUGUUAAUUGUUGAUGAGGGCACUGUUAUUUCCCUUAGAAAACUGAUUAUUAUUGGUUCAUUGACAAGUUAGAUAUGUUGUCUAUGUUAGUUCAUGUUCUAAUCAGUUGAAAAAAGGAGAUCCCUGCUUGUGUACACGGCUAGUUGUUAUUUGGUUUGGGUUAAUAGUUAAAAAGGUUCAGUUGA
Lathyrus oleraceus (garden pea) is the source of this 824-nucleotide long non-coding RNA. RefSeq lists it as uncharacterized. Lineage: Eukaryota; Viridiplantae; Streptophyta; Magnoliopsida; Fabales; Fabaceae. The record is from RefSeq and is a predicted model, not a curated record. The transcript is spliced from 3 exons.